CGCGACACAUGGGAGAUAGGAUUGCAGGCGACAUGUAUCGCUGCUUGGGUAUCUGAGUGAAUCGAAAGGGGAAGAGAAGGUAGAGAUGAGAGAUCUACAAGCAGGCGGACCGACCAGGUAAUCUCUAUGGUAACUCGUCUCAUAGACCUAUAUUCUGUCUCUGCAGAUGAAAGUAAAAUUUAUACAUACUUAUUUGAUUUUCAGGAUAUCGGAGCACCACCAAGAAUAAUGAAGAACCUACUGGCUGACCUCUUGGAGUCUCUGCCAGCCGCUCAAGCCACCCGGUCGGCAUCACAAAAUGCAAUUAAAUCAAAUGAGAGAUCUGAUGAUAGAAAGAUUCCUUGUGAGAGAUCUGCAGAUAAGUAGUGUAAGACACGCAAACUAACUAUGAAAUGAAAAAGGCAUGGCCUUUGCAUGAAUUGAUUUAGGCAGAGCACUACAAAGGACAAAUUUGGUUGUGUGCUGUUAAGAUAAUUAAGCUUGCCCACCAAAUGUCUGUACACACUAGGAUCUUGAAAAAAAGGUCCAUUAUCAGCAUAGAGCUUGGAAUAGGGAUCAAGAGGUAAAGACACAACUGAACCAAAGUAAUUAAACUCUUUAAGAGGUCCAAGGUAAAUUGCCUCUAACUAAUAAUAAAACCCCUAUUUUUCUCGAAGAAUUUCCAUGCGUAGGAAAUAAAAUGCCACUAGACAGAAUUUCUCAAUAUGAGAGAGCCAUUCCAAAUAGUGUCAAACCAGAAUUACUACAAUCCUUUUUAGAAAAAGGUGGCUUAACUAACGAAAGAAAAAUGUCUCUUAAAUGUUUGACCUCGAGUUAUGUGUUGAGAAAAUUUGUAAUGUGAUUGUUGCCUUCAACAUCAUUGCAUGUAAGCAAAGUAUCAUCUGCAUAGACUACUAUGAUAUAAAUUAAAGUUUUAGAUUAUUUGUAGAAUAGAGAAUAGUCAUCGAGGUAACUAGAAUAACCUUUGUAGUUGAGUGCCCCGGCAUGCCUUGCAUAUCAUUGUCUAGAGGCUUGCUUUAAAGCAUAUAAUGAUUUUUUCAAUAAACACACUUUAGUAGGAUGAUGAGGAGAUAGGGUAGCAUAAAAUCUCAUGUAGACUUCUUCUUGCGAAUAUCCAUGUAAAAAGGUAUUAUUCACAUCAAGUUGAGAAACAACACAACCUUUCUUGACUGCUACUAUAAUGAGACACCUAAUUGUGGUUAUUUUAACCAUGGGGGAGAAGGUCUCUCAGUAGUCAAUUCCUUCUCUAUUCCCCCUCCCUCCCGACCACUAACAUGGCCUUCAACCUUUCUAUAGUACCAUCUGACUUAUGCUUUACUUUGUAAAUCCACUUACAAGGUAGAGCCUUCUUCUCUGGUGGAAAAGCCACCACAUUCUAAGUAUGAUCCAUUUCUAAAAUUGCAAUUGCUACCUCAAUCGCUCUCCUCCAACCUGCUUCUACACAAGCUUCAUGAUAAAUUGUUGGUUUUGAAAUGUUAGAUACACUCUUUAGAACAUUUUGAUUUUUUGGUCUUAGUGAUUUAAAAGAAAAAAGUAGGUUUAAAUGACUAAGAGAAACAAGAGGAGUUGAGGUCAGUGAAAAAUAUGUUAUUGCACACAUAGUCAUUUUAGUAUGUCGACUUUUGACUGAUCCUUUUAGAUUUUCUAGUUGGAGAUGGUGGAAUGGAAAAACAGGGAAGUGGAGAUGAGAUGGGUGAAUUGGGUGUACUAGGGUCAUAGGUUGAGGAUGAACUUGUUGAGAAAUAUGGUGAAUUGUUAAGGCUAAUACUUGGCAAGAGGGAAGAUGCAACAAGAUGGUUGGUUGUCUUAUCUUCUCUCCUAGAUGUCCAGUAGGUGUAGAAAAAGAAAGAGAGCAGUUGAAGCUCCAGGUGUAGAGAUAGUGUUGAUGGAUGGUUAAACAUAUGUUAGAUUUGUGGUAAAAGGAAAGAACAAAGCUUGAGGUGUUGUGGUUGUCAAAGUGAAAGUAAAAUGAUCCCAUGGAACCUUACAUUCCUGGAAAUAUACACCUUUCUUGUCUCAAUUUUCAAAUUUUAUAACCCUUUUGACCUUGUGCAUAACCCAAGAAUACACAAGCAUUUUCUCUUAGCUCAAACUUACCCCUCUUAUGAGCCAAAGUAUAUACAUAACAUAGGCACUCAAAAUAUCUAAGAGAUUCAUAGUUAGGAGGUCAUCCAAAUAGAACCUCAUAAUGUAUUUUUCCUUUCGAAACUCUAGAAGGUAUUCUGUUGAUGAGAUGCGCAGUUAUAAAACACAUUCUCCCCAGUUGGAUAGGGAUUUUAGAUUGAAAAAAUGGAGCUCUUGCAACCUCUAGAAGAUGCUUAUGCUUUCUCUCAACCACCCCAUUUUGUUGGAGUAUUGCCACACAAGAUAUUUCAUGCAAUAUUCUUCGUGCUUCAAGGAAAGCAGCUUCAUGCGAACCUUUGCCUAAUUCCCCAUGCAUUAUUAGGCCUUAUCCUCUUCACUUUCAUGUCAGGUUGUCUUUCUACUAUGCUCAAAAGGUGUUUAAAAGCUGUAAAGGCAUUACUUUUACAACUUAACAAAAAGGUCCAUGUAGCUCUACUGUAAUCAUCUACAAUAGUUACGAAGUACUUACAACCAUUAUAUGUCAGAGUCUUGAAUGGUCCCCAAGUAUAAAUGUAAAUUAAAUAAAAGAUUUCCUUUGUUUUAAUUUGACUUAAAGUAAAAAAAAAAAAGUCUAAUUAUUUGGCUUGAGGACAAAUGUUACACAUAUUAUCAAAAUUUGAAUAGAAAUUAAUGUAACUAAGAUUCUUCAUUACUCAAAAGGCAAAAAAAUCCAAUCUAAUAUGCCCAUUGGCUUAUAUUAGAAUAAAAUUAGUCACUAAUGGUGUUUGAAAGGAAACAGAACUCGAACAAUGACUGGAUUUUCUUUCUUUUGGAAUUGAAACUACAUUUUGACCGAGUAGAAUGCUAGAAACUACAUUAGUCGGCUUGAAUAAAUAUAAUCCAUCUCUUACUUCACCAAAAACUUGUCUGCUCCUCAUUAACGUGACAUGUAAUAGACAACCAUCCAAAGAAAGAUUUAGAGAAUACUUGAAUUGACUACAUAACUUAUGAACAAAUAAUAAGUUAUAUCUGAAAGAAGAUAUAUGAAGAAAUCUCUUAAGGAUUAUAUCUGGCUGAAUGGAAACACUACCUAUGUAUGUAACAUAUAACUGAAAAGAGUUGGAUAAACUAAUAUGUAAAGGGACAGGUAGGGGAGUCAAAUUUAUAAAAGAACUUGAAUCAAAUCACAUAUGCACAAAGACCCCUGAGUCAAUGAUCUAAUUUCUAGUAUUAAAAGCUAAAAAUCAAGUUCAAGUACACUUAAGAAUUGUACCAGCCACAACAUUAACACUGAUUUUUGAACUUGCAUGUGCUGUGUUCCCAAUCUAAACCUAUUUGAUCAAGUUAACUACCCUAGAGACUUGUUCUUUGAUGAACAUUUCUGGAUGAUUGUUUAUGUUUUCCUCAUUAUUAACAGCCGCUGCAACCUCUCCCUCAUGUCCUGUAAUCAUUGUAGUUCCUUUCUUUGUUGCCUAGUAAUUAUUUGGUUGUUUGGUGAACUGGAGAUCUUCUGGAAAGCCUAUGAGUCCGUAAUAGUCUACUCUCACAUGUUCUAUCCUCAUGCAGUGAGAGCAUGUCAUAUUAGGGUUGUAAUUAGACUUCUUUCGUUUGAAUUUUUGUUGACUAUUUCCAAACUUUUGAGGAGCAAUCCAGGGUUUUAGAGUCUAAUUAUUGUUCUUUUAUUGAAACUUUCUCCGAGCUCCUACCAUAAAGGAUGCUCCAUUAUAAGGAUAUUGAGCACUCAUUUAUACUUCUCUUUGACUCUCAUCCUGUAGUAACAAAGAACAAGCAUGAUCUAGGCUAGGAAGAGGGUUCACCAUGAGGAUGUUUCCUCUUGCUUGCCGAUAUACAUCGUUAAGUCCCAUAAGAAAUUGGAUAACUUUCUCAUAUACCAAAAACUUAGAUACCUUCUUCUUUCCAUCACACACACUGUCACAGAUGCAUCCCAAGUGUGUGCUUAGAGAGCCCAACCCAUCUCACGGUCUCUUUAUAGUUGUGAAGUAACCUGCUAUGCUGCUAUUUCCUUUGACUGACUUUGAUAUCUCAUUUUUGCAGGUAGUAGAGUUUGGCACCAUUGGAUUGGCCAAAUCUGUGCUCAAGGUUGUUCCACAGCUCCAUUGCAG
RNAcentral lists this long non-coding RNA (4187 nucleotides) under Nicotiana benthamiana. RNAcentral's name for it is "long non-coding RNA (NBEN_LNC007249)". The record is from RNAcentral. Lineage: Eukaryota; Viridiplantae; Streptophyta; Magnoliopsida; Solanales; Solanaceae.